Molecule: small RNA, 70 nt
Filed under: Flavobacterium aquatile LMG 4008 = ATCC 11947
Lineage: Bacteria; Pseudomonadati; Bacteroidota; Flavobacteriia; Flavobacteriales; Flavobacteriaceae
Description: Flavobacterium aquatile LMG 4008 Flavo-1 RNA
Rfam family: Flavo-1 RNA
Source: Rfam by way of RNAcentral
CCCUAGCCCAGAUAGCAGUUGAAAUCUCCCGAUUUUUUAUCGGGAAUUGUAACGUAUAGCUGGAAAAAGC